This 410-nucleotide ribosomal RNA is filed under the name uncultured bacterium. Its description in RNAcentral is "bacterial SSU rRNA". It matches the Rfam family "Bacterial small subunit ribosomal RNA", at positions 186 to 577 of the family's 1533-position model. The record is from RNAcentral.
GGGGGCACGGGGGGAGGAAAGCAGGGGAUCGCAAGACCUUGCGCUGAUGGAUGAGCCGAAGUCGGAUUAGCUAGUUGGUAGGGUAACGGCCUACCAAGGCGACGAUCCGUAGCUGGUCUGAGAGGACGACCAGCCACACUGGGACUGAGACACGGCCCAGACUCCUACGGGAGGCAGCAGUGGGGAAUAUUGGACAAUGGGGGCAACCCUGAUCCAGCGACGCCGCGUGUGUGAAGAAGGCCUGCGGGUUGUAAAGCACUUUUAGUGGGGAUGAAAAGUUCAGGGCUAAUAUCUGUGGAUCUUGACCUAACCCAAAGAAAAAGCACCGGCUAACUCUGUGCCAGCAGCCGCGGUAAUACAGAGGGUGCGAGCGUUAAUCGGAAUUACUGGGCGUAAAGCGUGCGUAGACG